RNAcentral lists this ribosomal RNA (253 nucleotides) under uncultured bacterium. RNAcentral describes it as "partial 16S ribosomal RNA". It matches the Rfam family "Bacterial small subunit ribosomal RNA", at positions 524 to 776 of the family's 1533-position model. The record is from RNAcentral.
GACAGAGGGUGCAAACGUUGCUCGGAAUCACUGGGCGUAAAGGGCGUGUAGGCGGGAAUGUAAGUCGGGCGUGAAAUCCCUAGGCUCAACCUAGGAACUGCACUCGAAACUGCGUUUCUUGAGUAUCGGAGAGGAAAGCGGAAUACCUGGUGUAGAGGUGAAAUUCGUAGAUAUCAGGUGGAACACCAGUGGCGAAGGCGGCUUCCUGGACCGACACUGACGCUGAGGCGCGAAAGCUAGGGGAGCAAACGGG